AGCAGCCGCGGUAAUUCCAGCUCCAAUAGCGUAUAUUAAAGUUGCUGCAGUUAAAAAGCUCGUAGUUGAAUUUCGGGAUCAAUAUGUUGGUCGUGCCUCGGUACGUACUAGCUUAUUGGUUUCUCCCUUCUGAUGAACCAUGAUGUCAUUUAUUUGGUGUUAUGAGGAAUCAGGACUGUUACUUUGAAAAAAUUAGAGUGUUUAAAGCAGGCUCACGCUUGAAUGCAUUAGCAUGGAAUAAUGAAAUAGGACGUUUGAUUCUAUUUUGUUGGUUUCUAGGAUCGACGUAAUGAUUAAUAGGGAUAGUUGGGGGCAUUAGUAUUCAAUUGUCAGAGGUGAAAUUCUUGGAUUUAUUGAAGACUAACUACUACGAAAGCAUUUGCCAAGGAUGUUUUCAUUAAUCAAGAACGAAAGUUAGGGGAUCGAAGACGAUCAGAUACCGUCGUAGUCUUAACCAUAAACUAUGCCGACUAGGGAUCGGAUGAUGUUAAUUUUUAAUGUACU
Molecule: ribosomal RNA, 504 nt
Filed under: uncultured Glomus
Lineage: Eukaryota; Fungi; Glomeromycota; Glomeromycetes; Glomerales; Glomeraceae
Description: SSU rRNA
Rfam family: Eukaryotic small subunit ribosomal RNA
Source: RNAcentral